This 160-nucleotide ribosomal RNA is filed under the name uncultured fungus. RNAcentral's name for it is "5.8S ribosomal RNA". It matches the Rfam family "5.8S ribosomal RNA". From Rfam's summary of the family: 5.8S ribosomal RNA (5.8S rRNA) is a component of the large subunit of the eukaryotic ribosome. The record is from RNAcentral. Lineage: Eukaryota; Fungi.
AAAACUUUCAACAAUGGAUCUCUUGUGCUCUCGGCAUCGAUGAAGAACGCAGCGAAUUGCGAUAAGUAGUAUGAAUUGCAAAUUCUGUGAAUCAUCGAAUCUUUGAACGCAUAUUGUGCUCUCUGGUACUCCGGAGAGCAUGCCUGUUUGAGGGUAAUUA